CUUGAAAAAAAGAUUUUUUCAGAUGAGGGAACAUUUUCCAGUCAAUCACCCUGCAGCAAAGUCAUCCUGUUGAAUUUGUGACUCACAGCCUCUCUGUGUCAAUAGACAGAGUCAGCCCAGAGUUAUGACUUCACAGAAAGAUGAAGCAAAAGCUGGGAGACGAGGCAGGACCAGCUUUAAAAGAAGGCUGUAAGCUCAGACAACAAGUAGCAAAAGAAACACUGACCACUCACAGGCUGGGUAAUUGCAUUCGUUGCUUCUUUUUAUUUCUUGCUCGUCUCCUAGAAAAGAACAACUCUGACUUUGACUUCAUCCUUUCAUUGCAUUAACAUUGACGGGGGACAUGGUCAUUGUCAGGGCUAUGACUUUGCCUGGUGCUCCAUAUACAUUGUUAUCUCAUUCUGUUCUCAUAGCAAUUCUAUAAGGGAUUCAGAACCUGCGGAUGUGGAGGGCCAGAGGGCUGAAUUUGCAAGUUGGGCAAUGGGGAAAGCCUUCACAAAGGAGAAAGCCUUUGGGCUGGAAUUGGAGGAGUAGGAGUCAAUAGAGAGAGAAGAGAGUAAAGGGCAAGGCCAUCAUUCCAGGUUUAGGGAGCAAGUACAAAGACACAGAGAAAUGAAAAGGCUUGGCCUGUUUGGAGAAUGUCAAGCUGUCUGGGGUUGAGAGAAAGACAUUCUAACAAGGCUUCCAUUAAAGAGGCUAGAUUUGCUGCUUGGACAUUUUCUAGCUCUUCUGAGACAACUUUUUGUUGAGUUAAGCGAAAAUGAAUGAAAAUCAGAUGGACCAUAUUUCUCUUGAAUGCACACGGGCUUAAAAACGAAGGGGAAAAAGAACUUGACAGAAUGUGUCUUGGCUUUUGCCAAACCCAAAGUAUUUGAAAAAUCACACAGUACACAUCUCGAACCCAAAAACAUGCCUGGAUUCUACCACCCCUAACUGCAGCUGCAGCCAUUUAAUAAAAUGAAUUGUGUACAAGAAAAUGGGGUCCGAAUGGAGUGAGCUUCAUUAGAGAGAAUGACUGAUGUAGGGCGGUUGGCUGGUGCCCUUGAGAAAGUACAUAUCUCAUUGCCCUUGCAGAGAAAGAGAGAGGCCCAAUGUAGAGCUUUCUAACCACGCUAUUGAAUCAAGCUCUCUUGUAGAGAACAACUAAAACCCCACAUUAUUUAACUUUAUUGUAUCAUGUGUAGGAAGAAUUCAGCAUCUCUUGUUUCUCUCCCACUCUGUUUCUCAGUUUUACACUGUGAAGUAUGACAAUGAAAAGAAACAUGUUUUACAUCAGUCUUGAUUCACAUAAAUGGAUACCAAAUAAGAGAUGGUGG
RNAcentral lists this long non-coding RNA (1316 nucleotides) under Homo sapiens (human). Its description in RNAcentral is "HSALNT0354313". The record is from RNAcentral. Lineage: Eukaryota; Metazoa; Chordata; Mammalia; Primates; Hominidae.